CACAUUCCGAACCCGGAAGCUAAGACUCUCAGCGCCGAUGGUACUGCAGGGGGGACCCUGUGGGAGAGUAGGACACCGCCGGAC
Molecule: ribosomal RNA, 84 nt
Filed under: Clavibacter michiganensis
Lineage: Bacteria; Bacillati; Actinomycetota; Actinomycetes; Micrococcales; Microbacteriaceae
Also listed under: 1 other name
Source: RNAcentral